RNAcentral lists this unclassified non-coding RNA (249 nucleotides) under Penicillium decumbens. Its description in RNAcentral is "partial internal transcribed spacer region". The stretch from base 1 to 46 matches the Rfam family "Eukaryotic small subunit ribosomal RNA", at positions 1786 to 1831 of the family's 1831-position model. RNAcentral also lists the same sequence under 1 other name. The record is from RNAcentral. Lineage: Eukaryota; Fungi; Ascomycota; Eurotiomycetes; Eurotiales; Aspergillaceae.
AAGUCGUAACAAGGUUUCCGUAGGUGAACCUGCGGAAGGAUCAUUACCGAGUGAGGGCCCUCUGGGUCCAACCUCCCACCCGUGUCUAUCGUACCUUGUUGCUUCGGCGGGCCCGCCUCACGGCCGCCGGGGGGCUUCUGCCCUCUGGCCCGCGCCCGCCGAAGACACCAUUGAACGCUGUCUGAAGAUUGCAGUCUGAGCAAUUAGCUAAAUAAGUUAAAACUUUCAACAACGGAUCUCUUGGUUCCG